UCGUUUCAUUUUUUGGGAAGGUUGAACAGUAGCAUUUUCGUGUGUUAACGUUGAUGCAUAUUGUUGGAAUUCUUGUACAAUUUGUUCCUGAAGUGACAUCAAAGUACCUAUUUCAAAUUGACAUUUUGCUUUCAAGAAUUCAGUGGUGCAGAGAAUGUGGUCUGUUGUAUCUUUGAUUAUCUCAACAAAUUUCUUCUCUGAGGUUCUAAGUUGUAUUUACUAUUGUUGGAAGAAUAACAAAAGAAAACAAAAGUUGCUACAAUAAUUUGUUAGAAUCUUUUCUAGCCAACAAUGAUAUGUCCAGAUAUAUUUUUACUAUUUUGUUUUCUGGCAUGAUACUGUGCAAAUGAAAUUCGAAACUAUGGGUGUGUUUCGUAUUGGAAAAUAUUCUCCAUGGAAAACGUUUUUUCGGAAAAAGUUUUUCUGGAAAAUAACUUGAUUCUGUAGUUAUUUUCUUAUGUUUGAUUGGUAAGUGAAAAAUAUUUCAUGGUGUUUGAUUUGUGAGUAGAAAAUAUUUUUUGUGUUUGAUUGGUGAGUAGAAAAUAUUUUUCAAAAAUAUAUUUUCUAGUAUUUGGUUGGUGAAUGAAAAAAUAUUUUUUAGAAAAUAUUGUUAACUAUUAACUAGUAUACUGAACAAAUUUAAGCAUAACAAAUAAUAUCAAUAUCGAGUAUUAAGAUAUUACAAGUCACUAAAGUUUAAGCAAUUAUUAAUUAGCAAAUAUAGGAGACACUUUUCAACAUUUUAUCAGGACAAUCUGAAGAUACCACAAUCAAUAGAAAUACAAUUGAAUGACGAGCUUAUUCAACCUUGUGAAAUAAGCUACAACGAUGACAAAAUAAAAUAUGCAAUUAGCAAAAGUAACAUAGGUAAGUCUUCCUCUAUGCACAUGGAAAUAACAAUACAUUCAACGAACAUUGGAAACAAGGAAAAAUUUAGACUUCAAUAUUUUUUAUUUCAAGUAGUAAAAAAUUGAAGCAAAGCUGAGUGAAAAAUAUUUCUGAGUAAUGCGUAUUUUUUGAGUAAUGUGAAUUUAAGUGUUGUUGGGGUGGGGAAAGAUGGGUGAGGGUGGGAUAUAAAAGUCACAUCUAUCAUUUUCUGAAAAAUGACUUCCCUUGGUCUAUGAUGACUUUCCUUGGCCCAUGAGGAAAGUCAUUUUCCUUCAAAUAAAGAAAAAUAAGUUAUUUUGAAAAACAGUUUCCCAAUGUUUUAGUACAGCCAAAUACAUUUUCCAUUGAAACAAGCACACCCUAUGUGGUUCAUUUGUCAUUUUGGCAAGUUAGAAAGAAAAGAAAGACUUGAUUACGGAAAAAGAGGAGAGUAAAAAAAUAUUACUAGUAUGUAAUAAGGUUACUUAUAAGGUAAUACACGUUUAAAAAAAAUUGUGAUAGUCAUGACAUGUGAGCUUGUGCACACCUAAUUAAACCCACUGGUCCACCAACUCCCACCAAUACAAAUAUCGGAUAACUGUCUCUUUUGGAAUUGGAACAUGAUACCUCAAAAAUUACAUGUAAAUGUUUAUGUUAUGAUUUAACUCAUAACUUGUUAAAAAUGGUAAUUGACCUGCUAUGACAGGUUAAAUUAAACUGUCAGCGCAUAGAACAUAAAUUCAAAAUAAGAAUGGGCGAAGAAAAAGGGAAGUGCCGAUUUUUAUGUUUUAUUGUUUGUAGAACAGAGGAGAAUAAUGAGAAAGAUAAAUUGAAGUUGUUAGAGAUUGCAUCUUACUUUGUGCCCAAACCCGAGAUUGAGCGACGAAGGAAGAAAUGGUCAUUGCUUGUUUUUUAUUUUUCCCCAUGAGGAGUAGCACUGCCUCUUUAGUUACACGGAAAAGAAAAUUUAGAGUUUUUGAGUAUCUAGCAUUCUCCUCUAAUUUUUCUUGAACUUGAGAAUGCUUUGAUAUGUAUCCUAUUCAUGCAGAUUCACUAUACUGCAAGGUUUGCGGAUGGUAUAGUUUUUGACAGCAGCUAUAAGCGUGGCCGAGCCCUGACCAUGCGCCUCGGCAUGGGUAAGGUAUGUUUUUCCACUUCAAGGUCAGAGGUAAGUUAUGUUUACUGGUGGUAUAAAGUGUGACUCUGUAUUACCUUUUUCUUUGUUUGUCUGACCCAGAUUAUAAAAUUAGGACCAGUUAUCUAUCAGAUAGACAAUUGAAAAGGUUUUCAUAUAACUAUAGUUCAAUAUACUAUAUGCAUCGAAAGAUCAUACGAAAUGUCUCAAGCGGGACGAAUAUCUAUAUACUUACAAAACGAAAUAUGUGACAAGUUUGAAGAGAGCAAUAUAAACAACAUUGUCAUUGGAUUUGGCAACUGUUAAGGUAUUAUCAUUCACGUAAUAUCAUCAAUUUUCAUUUCCACGGUUUUCUUGACUUCUUUAAAUGGAAGUUUAAAAUAGUUAUCUUUUGAUAUAAUCUCUUACUUUAUCAAAGCAAGUGUCUGCCGAGUUCUCCAUCGUCCAACUUUACUAAACUUCCAGACUUUAUUUGGCAAGUCUUAUCCUCUGUAAUUAAUAUCUUUCCUAUUCCUUUUCACUCCCCAUUCACUUUUUUUGCCACCGAGAUCUGUUAUUCAUGCUUACCAAAAAAGAAAAAGGAAUUGUUUACCCAUACAAAAGAGAAGGAAAAUGAAUGAAGGAAAGAGAAGCUUGCAUAAAGGGG
This 2648-nucleotide long non-coding RNA is filed under the name Capsicum annuum. RNAcentral describes it as "long non-coding RNA (CANN_LNC019394)". The record is from RNAcentral. Lineage: Eukaryota; Viridiplantae; Streptophyta; Magnoliopsida; Solanales; Solanaceae.